CUUGCUCUCUGGGUGACGAGCGGCGGACGGGUGAGUAAUGUCUGGGAAACUGCCUGAUGGAGGGGGAUAACUACUGGAAACGGUAGCUAAUACCGCAUAACGUCUUCGGACCAAAGUGGGGGACCUUCGGGCCUCACGCCAUCAGAUGUGCCCAGAUGGGAUUAGCUAGUAGGUGGGGUAAUGGCUCACCUAGGCGACGAUCCCUAGCUGGUCUGAGAGGAUGACCAGCCACACUGGAACUGAGACACGGUCCAGACUCCUACGGGAGGCAGCAGUGGGGAAUAUUGCACAAUGGGCGCAAGCCUGAUGCAGCCAUGCCGCGUGUGUGAAGAAGGCCUUCGGGUUGUAAAGCACUUUCAGCGAGGAGGAAGGGUGGUGUGUUAAUAGCGCAUCACAUUGACGUUACUCGCAGAAGAAGCACCGGGCUAACUCCGUGCCAGCAACCGCGGGUAAUACGGAGGGUGCAAGCGUUAAUCGGAAUUUACUUGGGCGUAAAGCGCACGCCAGGCGGUUUUGUUUAA
This 521-nucleotide ribosomal RNA is filed under the name uncultured bacterium. Its description in RNAcentral is "bacterial SSU rRNA". It matches the Rfam family "Bacterial small subunit ribosomal RNA", at positions 75 to 588 of the family's 1533-position model. The record is from RNAcentral.